CAGCAGCAGGCCCGGCCUCUGGUACCAGCCAAGUUCAGAAUCCAGAGUGAGUCCAGCAGCCACCGUGGAGAUCUGCUGGAUUUCAGGACAAUAGAGGAAUGAAG
This is a long non-coding RNA of Etheostoma spectabile (orangethroat darter), 104 nucleotides long. RefSeq lists it as uncharacterized. NCBI's taxonomy places the organism in Eukaryota, Metazoa, Chordata, Actinopteri, Perciformes, Percidae. The transcript has 2 exons. The record is from RefSeq and is a predicted model, not a curated record.